Alligator sinensis (Chinese alligator) is the source of this 655-nucleotide long non-coding RNA. RefSeq lists it as uncharacterized. The record is from RefSeq and is a predicted model, not a curated record. The transcript is spliced from 3 exons. Lineage: Eukaryota; Metazoa; Chordata; Crocodylia; Alligatoridae.
GCUGCCCCUGGACUGCCCGGUGGAGGACGUGUGGCGCGAGGAGGGCGACCGGGUGUCCCUGCGCUGCUCCCUGCCUUUUCCAGCACCCCCGGAUGUGGUGGCCACAUGGGGUUUCGCCAAGGACGUGCGCAGCCAGGACCUGUCCUUGUUCGGGGAGGCGGGGGUGGCUGGAGGCUUGGCCCGGGGGUUCGUGAUCCGGUCAGCCCAGGCCUCGCAACGCGGCACCUUCCUCUGCCGGCUCCGCGCUGGGGCCCAGCUGCUCGCCCGGCGCUACUUCUACCUCAACGGUGCGGUGGAUGCGUGGGGCCUGGAGCCCGGACACCAGGGGGCUGGGGGGGCUGACAACAGGGGGACCUGGGCACCUGGAUCCUUUCCGAGGGCCAACGGGGCCCGUGGGAGGUAGAGUUGUGGGGCAGGGACCCCGGACACCUGGAUCCUCUCCAUCUUGGAGGGAAUGGGGGUGAGAGCAGGGGGGGCUGGGCGGCUGGACAUCUGGGUUCUCCGGGCAGGCGGUGGGGCUGGUUUGGGGGUCAGACCAGGCCUCCCCAGAUGCUGGGGUUCCCUCUGCACUAGGGAGUGACUCAGGUGCUGGGGUUCGCUGUGCCCACAGUGACGGCGCGCCGGGGGGGGCUGGAGCAGGGGCUGCAAGCCACGU